Molecule: ribosomal RNA, 700 nt
Filed under: uncultured bacterium
Lineage: Bacteria
Description: bacterial SSU rRNA
Rfam family: Bacterial small subunit ribosomal RNA
Source: RNAcentral
AGAGUUUGAUCAUGGCUCAGAUUGAACGCUGGCGGCAUGCCUUACACAUGCAAGUCGAACGGCAGCACGGGAGCAAUCCUGGUGGCGAGUGGCGAACGGGUGAGUAAUAUAUCGGAACGUGCCCAGUCGUGGGGGAUAACGCAGCGAAAGCUGUGCUAAUACCGCAUACGAUCUAUGGAUGAAAGCGGGGGAUCGCAAGACCUCGCGCGAUUGGAGCGGCCGAUAUCAGAUUAGGUAGUUGGUGGGGUAAAGGCUCACCAAGCCGACGAUCUGUAGCUGGUCUGAGAGGACGACCAGCCACACUGGAACUGAGACACGGUCCAGACUCCUACGGGAGGCAGCAGUGGGGAAUUUUGGACAAUGGGCGCAAGCCUGAUCCAGCAAUGCCGCGUGCAGGAUGAAGGCCUUCGGGUUGUAAACUGCUUUUGUACGGAACGAAAGGGCUCUGGUUAAUACCUGGGGCAUAUGACGGUACCGUAAGAAUAAGCACCGGCUAACUACGUGCCAGCAGCCGCGGUAAUACGUAGGGUGCGAGCGUUAAUCGGAAUUACUGGGCGUAAAGCGUGCGCAGGCGGUAAUGCAAGACAGAUGUGAAAUCCCCGGGCUUAACCUGGGAACUGCAUUUGUGACUGCAUUGCUGGAGUGCGGCAGAGGGGGAUGGAAUUCCGCGUGUAGCAGUGAAAUGCGUAGAUAUGCGGAG